Long non-coding RNA from Frieseomelitta varia, 1038 nucleotides. RefSeq lists it as uncharacterized. The transcript has 3 exons. The record is from RefSeq and is a predicted model, not a curated record. NCBI's taxonomy places the organism in Eukaryota, Metazoa, Arthropoda, Insecta, Hymenoptera, Apidae.
AAUUUAAGAAAAAAGAAAAAAGAGUGUUCGAAAAUGUCAAAUAUUUUCGAAACGAAAGACACAAUUUAUCCCUAUGUUCUUACAUCGUUACAUUCAAAAAGUAGAGUUCGUGUUAUUCAAAUCUAACCCUGAUCUCGUAUUCAUUAUUCGUCGAAACAUUAUAUAUCAAAAAGUAUUCGCGCCAAGGCCUAUCGAUCAAACGAGCAGAGAGAGAGAGAGAGAGAGAGAGAGAGAGAGAAAAGAAAAAAGCAACAAGCAGGUUAACCAUUCGUAUUUCUUUCUUUCGUGGUUAGUUGCCAUUGAAAAGGGGAACACGGUCGAACGAAAAGACUCGCGAAAAGUGAAAGUUCGAGAAAAGAAACGCGGCAAUUGUAAGCGGAGAGACAGAUGGAUCUCGGCACGGAGGCGACAAAUUGCGCGAUGAAUCCGAUUAAAAGCUGUGUAUCUGGUUCGCGUGCGAGCUCGCGGUCAGCUUUGCUGCGCGUGUCUCGUAUGCAACGCGUAUCCGAUGCUGGCGGCGAGGUGGGUGGGGGUGGGGGUGUGUAACAAAGGCGCACGUUGCUUUCGCGACGAAAAACCCAUGCUAAAUGGGGGUUGGACUGAAAGACUGAACAAGGAAGGGAAGGCGAAGGGAGAGCGCAGAGUCAAUUGCGCCUGGAAAUAGGUCGGAGUGGAGGGCCGGUGGGUAUCGAGACGACGAUGACGACAACGAUGACAGCCAGAAAGGAGCGAAAAGCGAUGUGUAGCGCGCUUUUUUUUCUUUUUCAAAUUACGAGGUACAACAAUACAUCCGUGCGUGUGUAAUUUGUGGAAAUGUGCCUAUGUAGACGAUAAAGUCGAAGGCCGCGAUACGACGAUAAUUCAGGAACAUGCGGUUUAUUCAAACGUUGCGACGCAGCUGCGCGUCUGCAUCCUGCAACGCGCGAAACGUGUGAAACAAUCAACAAAUGGCCGAAUAAUAUUCGUUCCUUUCUUCUCUUUGCGAUUCGAAUAAAGCUGAUUAUAUAUAUAUGUACACCGAUGAACGUGAUCUAACAG